CACAUACACACCAGACUUUAUUAAUAUAUUUUAUGAAAAUAUAUGUUUAUGAAAACAGCACAGAGCCUGAAUUCUAACCCUAACCCUGUCAAGAGUGCAUCUCCAUUUAUAGAGGAGAAAUAAGACUACAGCAUCAAGACACUUGGCUUUGUUUAGUCCACUUUCUCACUAUGCAUUAAGAUACCAUGGAUGUUCAUUAUAUAGGCAUUUUCCUGUAUUUGAAUGUAUGUAUGUAUGCAUUUAUGUAUGUAGGACAGGAACAGACUGUAAAACACGGUUAAAACAGCAGAAAAAUAAUUAAUGUUCCCCUGCCCCACUCCCCAGGACUUGUACAAUACAAGACCAGAACCAGAAACCAGGCAGGAAAAAUCACUGACCCUUCGUACCCUGGACACAACCUCUCUCAGCUCCUCCCUUCCGGCAGGCGCUAAAGAACUUUGUUUACCAAAACUGCCAGGCAGAGUUUCUUUCCCAAGGCAAUCACCCUGAUUAACAACUAACCAUAAUUAUAUUCCCUGCUUCAUAUCUAUAAGUACUGCAUAAUCAGAACUUUAAGUCUGUUUUGUCUUGUCAUUCUGUUUGUGUCUUGUAUAGUCUAAGCUAAAUGUACAGUACUAUUUAUGUCUGUACUUGAGAGUCACCAACAGCUGGAACUAAAUGCCUUGUGUGUAUCAACACACAUGGCCAAUAAACCUGAUUCUUACGUAUGUAUCUAGAGCACCAUAAAAACCACAACAGAUUCCUUGUGUGUCUGAGCACACUUGGCGAACAAAGCUGAAUCUGAUACAAAUUCCGUGUGCUUUUGUAAGGGCUAGAAAGAGACAUCGGUUUUUAAACCUCCACAAAAUAUUUAAAGCACAAUAGACUUUCUCUGCCAUGUUAAUCAGCCAUGAACAAAUAAAUUCAGUGUUAAUGGCUGUUUGGCUCCAGCAUCCCUCGAGUAUGCAAAGGAGGAAGGAAUAAUAUAAAAAAUAAAAUAAAAAAGGAACUUGCAAGAUGUUUGUGUGACUCAAACUCUGUGCUGGAAGAGAAAUUUCACAAUUCUGUGCAGUCAGCAAGUUUCACAGUGUUGGGACCCUUUAGCUGGAAAGACAAAAUGACAUUUUGCAGAAAGGAAAGCUCUGCUGCUGGCAUUACAAGAAAUAUAAGACAAGGGCUGGAUUUAAGUGAAAGAACAUCUGACACACGGCUUCACAAUGUCCCAACAGGCUGUAUGUAAAAAAAAUCAUAAGUCUGUGGUCAAUCAUUCUUCUUCCAUAAGUCAAAGAUAAGCCUUCACAAAAAGAAAGACAAACACCUUAAGUUAAGCAUUACAUUGUGAUCUUUUUUGUCACUCACACAGCUGUAUAAAGGGCUUUAAAAUUCACACUGUUGAGACCAUAUAUAACAAGAAUAAACUACUACAUCCGACAUCUUGCGGAUCUACCAUUUCCCCCAAAGGUCAUGUGACAUCUUAAACAUGUUAGGCUUGUUCAAGCAGUCAGACACUUUGCAAGUCAAUGAGUUCAAAUGUCAUAUCCAGAACACCUUAAGUGCUGGAAACACAUGACUACAAGGAAAUGGCUGCAAAGCUUUUGAUACUUCUGUUUUCCAAGCAAAACACAAAAAAAAAUCCCCCACACAAAAUGUGUAAAAAAAAAGGCAUCUAAUGACAAGUUAUCUCUGAUUUGCUUUCGUUUCAGAGUUGGAGCUGGGGGAAAAAACCUAACCGCUCUAUUUGCUGUUAAAUCUGGGGAAUCUGACUAGUGUAUGGUGGGAGAUUUAACUUUAUAACUUCAUGAAGGCCAAGCAGCUGACAUGCGUAGGACUACAACAGGAUGGCCACAUGCUAGCAAGGCCAAGGUCAAGGUUCACCCUUGAGGAUACUGAACUUUAUUCAUGUGAAAUAUGUUCUGCAUUCGACUAAAGGGGAAACAUUGUCCAUCCUUUAACAUCUUUCCAUUCCAACUCAUAUAUACCUACUCAGGAACAUGGGCAAGUGGGGUCAAAUCGACAUGGCUAUGCACAGAAUUGAAAAAGGGCAUCAACCUUCAUGGUGAAGCCAUCCACACCAGGCAUUGUGCUUAUGGACUGCAGCUCGGGGACAUCUGAUGCAAAGCUGGCUUCAAAUGGAACAUCGUGGAAGUAGUGGUCGCAUACAUCAGGCUGCUUUCGAU
Long non-coding RNA from Tachysurus fulvidraco (yellow catfish), 2156 nucleotides. RefSeq lists it as uncharacterized. The transcript is spliced from 3 exons. The record is from RefSeq and is a predicted model, not a curated record. NCBI's taxonomy places the organism in Eukaryota, Metazoa, Chordata, Actinopteri, Siluriformes, Bagridae.